RNAcentral lists this ribosomal RNA (374 nucleotides) under uncultured bacterium. RNAcentral describes it as "bacterial SSU rRNA". It matches the Rfam family "Bacterial small subunit ribosomal RNA", at positions 524 to 898 of the family's 1533-position model. The record is from RNAcentral.
UACAGAGGGUGCGAGCGUUAAUCGGAUUUACUGGGUGUAAAGGGCGCGUAGGCGGUGGGAUGUGUGUGAUGUGAAAGCCCCGGGCUUAACCUGGGAAGAGCAUUGCGGACUGUCGCACUAGAGUACAUGAGAGGGUGGCGGAAUUUCCGGUGUAGCGGUGAAAUGCGUAGAGAUCGGAAGGAACGUCAAUGGCGAAGGCAGCCACCUGGCAUGAUACUGACGCUGAGGCGCGAAAGCGUGGGGAGCGAACAGGAUUAGAUACCCUGGUAGUCCACGCUGUAAACGAUGAGGACUGGAUGUUGGCAGGGGAACCUGUCAGUAUCGAAGCUAACGCGAUAAGUCUUCCACCUGGGAAGUACGGCCGCAAGGUUGAA